GCACUCUUAAGUAAGCUAUGUUAUUUGAUUAUGUGUGUUGGAAUAUUUGCAUAGUUUUUCCCUUUUAAAAUCUUUGUUGUGGAAAAUCUAAAGCAAACUGAAUGCCCAUGUUCCCAUCACUCAGCUUCAAUAUUUAUAAACUCAUAGCCAACCCUAUUUCCUUUCCACUCUCCCUACUGACUCUCUUUCUCAUAAAUUCCAGGCAAAAUAGUUGUAAAUAUUUUAGUAUGUAUCGGUGGAAGUCAAGAACUCUUAAAACAUAGCUGUGAUGCCGUCAUCAGACCUUCCUCAAAAAAAAAAAUCAGUAAUAAUUCCUUAACAUCAUCAAAUAUCCAUAAUUUACACAUUGUUGUCCUAUAACCUUUUAAAUACCUUGUUUGAAUUCACAUGUAAAAAGUUGUUAAGAUUUUUAAAAAUUUUUUGACUGAAGAUGUGGAUUUGUUUCUUGCAAAAUUUACUACUGCCUAGAUUUUGCUAGGUGUAUUUGCAUGCUGCCAUUUAGUACAUUCCUUGUUUCUGCUGGUAUGGGAUAUACAUUCCUAUAUACUGAAUUGUUUCAGGAAUGUUGCAGCUUUAGACAGUAACUCAAAGUACCUUGAAGUUUCAACUCAAGACUGUAGUUAUGGCUCAGGAUCUGUCAUCAGAUUGCAUCUAGAUUGUAAACUGGGUUGGUAGUGAUGUGGAUGUUUGGAGCUCAUAUUUGGCCUUCAUUUCUUGUGAUACUUUUCAUAGAGGUGUCCAAUUUGUCUCACAACACGUCAGUUUCUCUACACCAGUGCAACUGAUCUAACAGCCAGACCAAGUCAUAUGCCACAAUGUCUAUCUUCUUGAAGGUCCCAACAGCAUGGUUUCACAUCCAUUCUAUUUGCUAAAUGCAAAUCACCAAAUGUUAUUCAUACUCAACAAGUGAGGAUUUAGGCUCUGCUUUUGGAAGGAAGCUGGAUCAAGUAUCUGUUCUCUCAUUUGUGAAGAUUGGAAUGUCCAAGAUCAGUGGCAGAUUCAUUGUCUGGCCAGAGUCCAGCCUCUGGUUCCCAGAUGACUCUUUCUAUAGCUUUGUCUGGUACAGACAGAGAAGAGAGAGAGAAGGAUCUUCUGCUUCUUCUGUUUUUAUAAAGACAGUAAUUCCAUCAUGAACUCCACCCUCCUUGCCUUUCAUAGGAUCUGUUUUCCAAUAUUACACUGAGGAUUGGGGGUUCAAAAUAUGAAUCUUGCAGGAAGACAGGGAGGUAGGAUGCAAACAAUCAGACCAUAGGAGCCAAAGAGAAAUAAAGCAUGGAAAGUUCCACCAUUCCAAAGGACUUCACACAUGUCAAGAGUCAUGACUGAAUGAAUAAAAUAUCUAUUUGUCAUGAUUUCUGUUGGAACAAUUCACUAAAGGUUAUUUAUCCUUAGUGCCGAUUUGAACUUUCAUUCUCGCAGUCUUCAAUUUCCAGCUGUAAAAUCUCCUAAAAUAAUUUGCAUCACCAGCUCUCAGAAUGACCGAGGAGCCCUUUAAAACCGAGAUUUUACUCUUAGGGGAAAUGAAUGUGAGAACAGUUUGUAACAAGAGUAACUAAGUUGAGUUGGAAUCACAUAAAAACAUACUGACACAUUAUUUACUGACAAAACACUAAUAAGAUGGGCCUCUGGUGCCUGGAAGGGCCCAGUUUAUUCUUCAAGACACCUAAAUUGCACCCAAAGAGGAAGUUAGGAGCCUACAGAAUUGAACUCACCUUCACAGAGGGAAUCCAUUUUUGCUUCAUUAUCAGAGAGCACCUGGGCUGCCACCGAGGAAUUUAUGCAGAUGUGAUGGUGUGGAAUCUGCCUCAAGCCCCCUCUCUACCAGUGAAGAAGGAACACAAUAAAACACAGACAUGUUGCCCUAAUACACUAAUUGGAAUACACGCUUCUGAGCUCAGGAAGAUUCCUCCAGGAAACAGCAUAGAUCAUUACAGGAGAGAAGGACCCCAAGCAGAAAUCAGCAUUUGUCUAGUGUUGUCAGUGAAUGGCCUUCCUGAUGCUGGGUACAUUGGACUGGAAGGAGCUUAUAGUCUGCUGGGUGGAAACAUCCCAUAUCAUCUGUACUUGAUUUAGCUAAAAGACUGAGAGGUGACCAUCCGAUGCUAUCUGAAUCCAAGGGCUACGGCAGACGCUGGAGAAAUUGCAGUUGUAAAAGUCACCUGCUGAGAAUACAUCUCCUGGAAAAGAAGCCCUCUGAAGCCCACCUGCCUUCAUUCUGCAUGAGCAUGGAGUGGCCUUGUUUUGUCUUGACUCCUUACUGCCACAUAAUGGCCUUGUCAGAUCUUGAUGUUGCAUAAAGUUGCUUAUGUUCAAUAGAACUCCAAGGCUUAGUUGCAUGUGCCAGGCCAGCUCCUGGCAGCACCAAGGCCAGCCCGAUAGAUGUCCCAGGUGAGUUCCCAAGUAUCAGGGCUGUUGUCUCUUUCUCAAUGGAAUUGU
This is a long non-coding RNA of Ochotona princeps (American pika), 2436 nucleotides long. RefSeq lists it as uncharacterized. NCBI's taxonomy places the organism in Eukaryota, Metazoa, Chordata, Mammalia, Lagomorpha, Ochotonidae. The record is from RefSeq and is a predicted model, not a curated record. The transcript has 4 exons.